Molecule: ribosomal RNA, 460 nt
Filed under: uncultured bacterium
Lineage: Bacteria
Description: SSU rRNA
Rfam family: Bacterial small subunit ribosomal RNA
Source: RNAcentral
AGAAUCAACGCUGGCGGCGUGCCUAACACAUGCAAGUCGAACGAGAAAGUGGAGCAAUCCAUGAGUAAAGUGGCGCACGGGUGAGUAACACGUGACUAACCUACCUUUUAGUGGGGGAUAACCUAGGGAAACCUGGGCUAAUACCGCAUAAUACCUACGGGUCAAAGCAGCAAUGCGCUGAAAGAGGGGGUCGCGGUCGAUUAGUUAGUUGGCAGGGUAAUGGCCUACCAAGACUGUGAUCGAUAUCCGGCCUGAGAGGGCGCACGGACACACUGGAACUGAAACACGGUCCAGACUCCUACGGGAGGCAGCAGUGGGGAAUUUUGCGCAACGGGGGAAACCCUGACGCAGCAACGCCGCGUGGAGGAUGAAGUCCCUUGGGACGUAAACUCCUUUCGAUCGGGACGAUAAUGACGGUACCGGAAGAAGAAGCCCCGGCUAACUUCGUGCCAGCAGCCGC